GGGGGGGGGGAUUAGGACACACAUUGUUAUUGUUAAAAGUUGUUAAAAGUAGCUUAGUACCUUAAGCCAAGAGUUCUAUAUUACUUUGUCACGCAAGGAAACUUGGUAAGAUGUGUUUUAAUGAUUUAAAAGCCAUAUAAAGAGUGACAGCCUUUUAGGUAAAUUAUACAAGUAACCAAUGGAAAAAUACAGUGUCGGUAAGUAUCAACAAUGUUA
Saccostrea cuccullata (small rock oyster) is the source of this 216-nucleotide long non-coding RNA. RefSeq lists it as uncharacterized. The record is from RefSeq and is a predicted model, not a curated record. The transcript has 2 exons. NCBI's taxonomy places the organism in Eukaryota, Metazoa, Mollusca, Bivalvia, Ostreida, Ostreidae.